This is a long non-coding RNA of Capsicum annuum, 361 nucleotides long. RefSeq lists it as uncharacterized. Lineage: Eukaryota; Viridiplantae; Streptophyta; Magnoliopsida; Solanales; Solanaceae. The transcript has 2 exons. The record is from RefSeq and is a predicted model, not a curated record.
GUGAAAACCUUUAUUUUCUCCCGAUUGUAUGUAGUUAGCCUCAUCCUAUGCUUGACUGGCGAGUUUAUUAUUUUCACGACUUUUUCUUUUUUAAGCGAGGUAGAGAUAAAUCGAAGAAAUAUUGGAGGAAGGUGAUUAGACAUAUGAAUGAAGCAACUUCAACUUAUCGAGGAUAUGAUCCUAAAUAGGACGUAAUGAAGGAGGAAGAUUAAGGUAGAAGAUUGUUUUAUUUUGAGCCGAGGGUCUAUCAGAAGCAACCUCUCUAUCACACAUCUGAGGCAGUGGUAUGAACUACGUACACUUACCCUCCCCAAAUCCCACUUGGUGAAAAUAUACUGGGUAGGUUGUUGUUGUUGUUGUA